CGCGUGGAGGGAACUCAAGGCCUGAUUGGUUCUUCCUAAGCAGGACGCGAUCUGGCUGGCAGGGCAACCGGCCUUCCGUUGGUGGCCUUCAGUUAGUGCCUUCAGUGGGUGCCUUAAGUUGGUGGCAUUUGGUUGCCUUUCCUGGGGAGAGGCGGCAGGUGCUCAGCUCUGCAGACUUGGGGGCAAGCGAAGGCCCAAGCUGCCUCGAGAAGAGCAGAGGUGCCCCGUGGGGGCCACGAUGACGGGUCGCAUGUGCACCAAAGUCAGCCCCCGGCAGGGCCGGCGCAGGGAUUCUGCGGGGCCGUCCUGUGGCUCUGACAUCUAUGAGUGGGUGGCCAGUAGAGGCACAGGCACCAGCAAAGAGGGGCAGAGACGCCCAGAACACGCUGUCCCCCAAUGCCAGCCCCAAGCGGGGCCAGCUCAGGGUGCAGUGGGCAGAGCCAUCCUGCAGCUCUGAGAUCCACGAGGUGGAGGUGGGAGUAGCGCCAGGCUCCACUGUGUUGGAGUUUGCCCAGUUUGAGCCCAGUUUGAUUCCGGAGCCAUGACCUCAGCACAUUGGCGACCAGAAGACGCCCAAAGCUCUUUGUCCUGGGAAGAGUUUGCUGCAUCUUCCAGUUUCAGUAAUCAAAGAAGCAAAGUUCCCUGCAGUUCUUCAAGGAAACUUGAGAAUUCAGAAGGUCUUGGGGUGGCUGCAUCCGUCCUGAAGACAAAUGCCAAUCAGCAGAGGGGCCAUUCCCAGGGACACAGGGCUGGCUGACUUGGGCCUUGGCCAGGCUUUGGAUUCACCUUGAAAACAUCCUCUCUGAACAUCAGAAAUCCACUUGGUCCCUGAAUGGUGUAUUAACUUCUAACAUUUCUGACUUCCAGUCAUGGAGAUUUCAAAACCAAUUGCAUAUAGCAGCGAAGCUUUUCACUUUUAAUGGAACAUUUAGGAGAAGGGCAGCUUUUCCUAUUUUCUGUGUUAUCUUCAGCCUGUUAACUGUUAUCAGCCCUGGAGAGAAACCAUCCCUUCUCCUUAAAAACAUGAACCACAUACCAAGUUGCUUCUUGCCUCUUAAAGAUUCGGGUCACUCAGGUACGUCAUACUGAGACAGGACGCUCAGGUACAUCAUACUGAGACAGGACGCUCAGGUACAUCAUACUGAGACAGGACGCUCAGGUACAUCAUACUGAGACAGGACAUGUUGAUUGUUGGUGUGUAUUUCUCCCAAGCCACCACUCAAACCAGUGUUUGAUUUCCAUGGAGGUUGGCUGAUGGCUUUUAGCUUGAGCCCCAACAGUGUGACUUCAUACAAAGCAAUUUCUUCAGAAAUAUCAUGGAACUUUAGGGACAUUAUAUUAUUAAAUUAAAAAAACCUAAUAUGUUAAUUUUUUCAUUAAAGUUUAUGAGUUUACUGAGUCUUUCGUUUCCAAAAUAGUUAAUGAGCUUUUGAGUCAUGUUUUUUAUGAAAGGAUUGACUUUCCCAUGGCGUCCAACUCUGUAGAUAAUCAUCCGAAACAGAUUUGACUGUAUUUGUUUACCAAAAGGCUGCCUAAACCAAGCUCUGCCCUGAAUUUUUUGUUUUCCACACUUAUGUGCUAAAUCUGUGUAAUUUGUUAGUUUGUCUCUCCAGAACCACUGUUGGUCUUGCGUAACUAAUCAGCAGAGGCAGCAGUCUGAUGGGUCCACAGCGACAAGGGAGGCAGUGGGAGGAAUGCAGUGGCCAGGCAGGCGAGGGACCUCAGGACCAGCAGCUCAGCUGCAGCCUUCCCUUUUCUCAAGGUCGUACUGAGCAAGUCAAAUGGUGAAGAAAGUCUCCAUCUCCAAACUGAACACAGGAUUUGUUGAGGUGGCCUCCUGGAGCCGAAGUGUGUUUGGGGUGAUAUCUACAAACUUCCGUCCCUGCUUCACUGGUGGCCUUUGGAGAAUCACCAUUUUUUUUUUGGUCUCGUUCUGUGGAAUAUAUUCUGAAAAAAUAGGACAAAUGCUAAAAUAGUGAUGUCAAAUUUAAGUUUUUCAUAGAAAUAGCAUAGUAGGGAACUAUACUCAUUUUUAUAAGGAACACAUUUAAUCGUUACUCUUUCCCUUCCUUUGUUCUUUCCUUAAGAAAUACUGAGUGUUGAUUAUGUACAAAGAAUAGAAUAUGAUGGGAAACAAUACAAGUACCUUAUUACGUGUCAUAUAGUAUAAAUCUUUAAAUUGUGAAUAUAAAUUAAACAGAGCCCCUCGGGUUCAUGGCUCAUGCCUGUAAUCCCAGCACUUUGGGAGGCCAAGGCAGGUGGAUCACUUGAGCCCAGGAAUUCAAGACUAGCCUGGGCAACAUGGCAAAACCCUGUCUCUACAAAAUGUACAAAAAUUAGCCAGGCAUGGUGGCUCACGGCUGCAGUCCCAGCUACUUGGGAGGCUGAGGAAGGAGGAUCACUUGAACCCUGGAGAUUGAGGCUGCAGUGAGCCAUGACUGUGCCACUGCACUCCAGCCUGGGCAACAGAGUGAGACCCUGUCUCAAAAAAAAUAAUAAGUAAAUAAAUAAAACAGAGCAACUCAGCAAUAAUUAUAUAUUUAAUUAUUCUAAGUAUUAUGUUUAAUAAUAUAAUUAUAUUUAAACAUUGUAUUAUGUAACACAUCAAAGUGUAUCAUAUGAAGUUUUUUGUCUCCAUCAUUCUCUCUUAUUUUGAUAGUAAUGAUGAAACACUGGCCCAACUUAAUCCUCAGAAUGUGUUUAUUGAAUUAAAUGGUAGCCGUAGAAUUCAGAAGAACUUAUUUGAAGAGCUUUAAAAGGGAAA
Long non-coding RNA from Pongo pygmaeus (Bornean orangutan), 2764 nucleotides. RefSeq lists it as uncharacterized. The record is from RefSeq and is a predicted model, not a curated record. Lineage: Eukaryota; Metazoa; Chordata; Mammalia; Primates; Hominidae. The transcript has 3 exons.